CCUACGGGUGGCAGCAGUGAGGAAUAUUGGUCAAUGGACGGAAGUCUGAUCCAGCGACGCCGCGUGAGUGAAGAAGUAUUUCGGUAUGUAAAGCUCUAUCAGCAGGGAAGAAAGAAAUGACGGUACCUGGCUAAGAAGCCCCGGCUAACUACGUGCCAGCAGCCGCGGUAAUACGUGGGGGGCAAGCGUUAUCCGGAUUUACUGGGUGUAAAGGGAGCGUAGACGGCGAUGCAAGUCUGAAGUGAAAGGCGGGGGCCCAACCCCCGGACUGCUUUGGAAACUGUAUGGCUGGAGUGCAGUAGAGGUAAGUGGAAUUCCUAGUGGAGCGGUGAAAUGCGUAGAUAUUAGGAGGAACACCAGUGGCGAAGGCGGCUUACUGGACUGUAACUGACGUUGAGGCUCGAAAGCGUGGGGAGCAAACAGGAUUAGAUACCCCUGUAGUC
This 443-nucleotide ribosomal RNA is filed under the name uncultured bacterium. Its description in RNAcentral is "partial 16S ribosomal RNA". It matches the Rfam family "Bacterial small subunit ribosomal RNA", at positions 338 to 795 of the family's 1533-position model. The record is from RNAcentral.